RNAcentral lists this long non-coding RNA (1888 nucleotides) under Salmo salar (Atlantic salmon). RNAcentral describes it as "lncRNA (ENSSSAG00000098373.1)". Lineage: Eukaryota; Metazoa; Chordata; Actinopteri; Salmoniformes; Salmonidae. The record is from RNAcentral.
ACGGGAGCAGCGAUGGCGAAACAAGGAAGAGGUCACCUGCGAUACUAGCCACCACCUCAGCUCCCUGUUCAAACACUUCCAUUACAGUCUCUAUCACGUUCUUCUUCUUCUGCUACGAUCUUCUAUAGCUGGCCGAGCAUUUUUGCUGGUAUUGUUAUUAUUCAGUGCAUAACACAUACCAGUAUUACAUCUGAGAAAAGACCAUAAGGUCAUGGUCAAGAGAAUGUUUAAUUUACAUUGGACAUAAUAAAGUCUAUGGUCUAUAGAAUUACUUUUGACUAAAUGGACACCUUUCUACUGACACUUAACUAAAGUAUUAUUGAAGAUCCAUUUAAAAUAUAGACAACCAAUCAUCCCCCAGUUCAAGACCAUAGUUAAAAUGGAGGAAAGGUUCAACAGCAAUACCAAAGUCUCUGAACUUAUGUAGAGCUGUUCUGGUCUUGUUGGACUGUGGCCUGCUUCCUUGCUCAAACUCUCAACUAGAGUGAAUCCCUGCUGGCAUCACAGUGAGAACUGAUAAGAGUAAAUUUCAGUACACUAGCAAAGCCUACUGGGAUUACAGCUGGGUACACCCAGUGAGCAAUAAGGCAACUAUGCAAAGACAAUCCACCAGUGAGGAAAGACACGUAUAGUCCAUUAGGUGCCUUUUGGCAAACUCCAAGCAGGAUUUCAUGUGCUAUUCAUUGAGGAGUAGCUACCGUCUGGCUACUCUACCAUAAAGGCCUGAUUGGUGGAGUCCUGCAGAGAUGGUUGUCCUUCUGGAACGUUCUCCCAUCUCCACAGAGGAACUCUAGAGCUCUGUUAGAGUGAACAUCGGGUUAUUGGUCACCUCUGACCAAGGACCUUCUCCCCUGAUUGCUCAGUUUGGCCAGGCGGCCAGCUCUAGGAAGAGUCUUGGUGGUUCCAAACUUCUUAUAUUUAAGAAUGAUGGAGGCCACUGUGUUCUUGGGGACCUUCAAUGCUGCAUAAAUGUUUUGGUACCCUUCCCCAGAUUUCACACAAUCCUGUCUCGGAGCUCUAUGGACAAUUCCUUCGACCUCAUGGCUUGGUUUUUACUCUGACAUGCACUGUCAACUGUGGGACCUUACAUAGACAGGUGGGUUCUUUCCAAAUCAUGUCCAAUCAAUUGGAUUUACCACAAGUGGACUCCAUUCAAGUUGUAGAAACAUGUCAAGAAUGGUCAAUCGAAACAGGAUGCAAGAGCUCAAUUUCGAGUCUUGUAGCAAAGGGUCUGAAUACUACUGUAUAUAAGGUAUUUAUGUUUAUUUUUAUUUUUAAUACAUUUGCAAAAAAUUCUAAAACCUAUUUUUGCUUUGUCAUUAUGGGGUAUUGUGUGUCGAUUGAUGAGGAUAUUUAUUUAUUGAAUCCAUUUUAGAACAAGGCUGUAACGUAACAAAAUGUGGAAAAAGUCAAGGGGUCUUAAUACUUUUUGAAUGCACUGUCUCAUCAAUAUUUAGGCCUGUAUAGCAUUUGCGAUGUCAUCAACAGCUAUUUUGUCAAUUCAACCAAGGGUUUAACAAAAAAAUGUCAAUAAGCUACAUACUGUAUAUUACCCAAAUGUCCACAUUAAAAAUUAUUUGGUGUGCCGAGUGGGACUUGUACACAUUUUUUUUUAAUGAGAAUGUUUAAAUUAUAUGUUGAAGUUGAAAUUGUUGAAGUUGAAGUGUACCACUCUGUCUUCAGCUACAAGGAUAGCUUCUCUGUCCUGUAGAUGUGUCCAGGUCACAGAGAAAACAUGUAAUAUGAUGACAGAUGACUUAAAUGUAGGCGAUUCAACACCACUCGGUUGAUUUGAGGCAGUUGAGGGAGAUGGAACAGAAUGAAAUGACGUCCUCUGCUGGAUGAGGGAGGUCCCACAGGAAAUGAAAUUAAAGUGACCAAAAACAUG